AGCAAGGCUGGUCAGGAGAGGGAGUAGCCCAGGAGGCAGCGUGUUGCUAUUGCAUGCAGAUUGCCAUGGUGUCCUCUCUGCUGGGUGACUCUGAGCUGGGGUGGAAGGACAGGAGGUGUGAGUCACGGGACAUCACGGUGGGGUGCAUGCUGGAGAGAGAACAAGUUCAAAGGCCCCAGUGCAGGAUGGCAAGAAUUCGAGGCCUGGCACAGCGGUGCCUGGCUGGUGCAGCCGGGGGUUGGAUAUACAUGGGAGGUGCGGUCCUAGAGCACUGAGAGACGCUACAGGUCAUAGAGGGCCCUUCAUGCACGGUAGGCUUUGACUUUCCACUGAGAUGGGAUGCUUUGGAGGAGGCAGAGCAGAGGAAUGAUGUGAAUUUUUUUUUUAGUACUGGGAAUUGAGCCCAGGUCCUUUGCACUCAGCUACAUCCCCAGCCCCUUUUUAAAUUUUUUAGCUAGAGAUAGAGUCUCACUAAGUUGCUGAGUUGCCUAGGCUGGGCUUGAACUUGAGAUUCUCCUGCCUCAGCCUUUCUGAGAGCUGGGAUCACAGAUGUGUGCCACCACACCUAAAUCUGAGUUGUUUUAACAGAAUCCUCUAACUGCUGGGUGAAGAACAGACCGCGCUGGGAGGCAGGACCGGAAGCAGGGAGACUCAGGCCUGCUGCAGUGAGAGGAGAUGGCAGGCGGAGGCCAUGGGAAAGUUCUUGUUCUGGGUGGAGUUGGAAGGUAGCUGAAGGGUCAGCUGUGAGAGGCCUGGGGAAGAGAGGAGUGAAGGAGACUCCAAGACUUUGGUCUGCGUAGCCAGAAGAAUGGAGUUGUCCCAUCCUGAGCCUGCACGGGAGGUGCAGCAGGUUCCUUGGACAAAGUGGAGCCUUGGGGUUGUUUAGUCUGCGAUGCCUCUUAGAUAUCCAUGUGGAGGUGCUGGGUAGACAGUUGUGGGUCUGAGGCCAGGAGAGAGGUCUGGAUUACAGACAACUUUGCGAAUCAUCAGCCCACAAUGAAAUAAAGGGACUGAAAGGAAUUGUCUGGAGUAAGUGUGUAGACAGAGAGGACUGUGGAGCAUGGAAUCCUCGGGCUGCCGCUAGCACACACCCAGUGCUGCUGGACCAGCCCUUCAUGAUGCUGCCUUAGUGAUUGUGGUGGUUAAUUGUGACAUGUCAACUUGACUUGAGUUAGAACCGCCUAGCAGAUUAGUAGAGCUCUGGGAGUCUGUGAUGAUUGGCAUGUAGGCUGCAGGCUGAGGAGGGAAGACUCACCCUGGGUGUGGGUGGUACCAGCCAAUAGGCUUUUAGCUGGGAUGGAAUACAAAGGGAAAGAAGGAGGAAAUCUGCCCUUUUCUUUGGAGGAGCUCCGGUCUUCACCCUCAUCUUUGGAUGUUCAUUUUCAGCCUUCUAGGGCAGACCUUCUGGUUUCCCAACAGGGAUUCACAUUGGCUCUGCAACCUUGGGCUGGAUCCUCUGGCUCUCCAGUGCACAGACGGCCAUUCAGACAGAGACCAGGACCAGUGCUUCCAUUUCCUGGGGACUUUCAUUGAGAGGUCACAAGAAAGGAAGGUACUCAGUUGGGCUGCUGAAUAUGUGUGAAGAGGCUACUGCUGUGCCUGGCAAAUGAAGCUCGCUUUCCUGGCCUUCAGAUGCUGGUGGUGUGCUUUUAAAACAUUAAAGGAGAGAGCACAAGGCCAAGGGAAAGUCCACGGGAGCAGGAUGACAGCUGAGGUGGCUAAGCCCUAACUAUUACUAUUAGGAGCCAAAAGCGAGUCUCCAGUUGCCACGAUAACCAAAUUUACCCAAGGCCAAUGGUCGCCCAUACUCAGCAUUGUAUCAUCAGUCUUUUUCCUUGCCCUUUAAAUGUCAUGUUAAAUAAACCAGCAUGUUAU
RNAcentral lists this long non-coding RNA (1875 nucleotides) under Heterocephalus glaber (naked mole-rat). RNAcentral's name for it is "lncRNA (ENSHGLG00000050609.1)". The record is from RNAcentral. Lineage: Eukaryota; Metazoa; Chordata; Mammalia; Rodentia; Bathyergidae.